RNAcentral lists this ribosomal RNA (253 nucleotides) under uncultured bacterium. RNAcentral's name for it is "partial 16S ribosomal RNA". It matches the Rfam family "Bacterial small subunit ribosomal RNA", at positions 524 to 776 of the family's 1533-position model. The record is from RNAcentral.
UGCGUAGGGCGCGAGCGUUGUCCGGAUUUAUUGGGCGUAAAGAGCUCGUAGGCGGCUUGUUGCGUCGACCGUGAAAACCCGGGGCUCAACUUCGGGCUUGCGGUCGAUACGGGCGGGCUAGAGUUCGGUAGGGGAGACUGGAAUUCCUGGUGUAGCGGUGAAAUGCGCAGAUAUCAGGAGGAACACCGAUGGCGAAGGCAGGUCUCUGGGCAUUAACUGACGCUGAGGAGCGAAAGCAUGGGGAGCGAACAGG